Molecule: microRNA, 21 nt
Filed under: Mus musculus (house mouse)
Lineage: Eukaryota; Metazoa; Chordata; Mammalia; Rodentia; Muridae
Description: mmu-miR-714
Gene: mmu-miR-714
Source: miRBase by way of RNAcentral
CGACGAGGGCCGGUCGGUCGC